CUUUUUACACACAGCUCUGGUAAGACGUUGCCUACUCUUGAUCCACGCAUAGGGGGAGUUAUUGCGAACAUAGCUGAAAGUCGAUGCUGAAGAUAUAGACCGGGCGGUGAAAGCCACAAGCCUGCAAGGAAGGCCAUUGAUGAAGGACCAUGGCAAAAGAUAAUUGCUUAUGAACAGCGAAAAGCUUGCAGCUAUAGAGACAUGGGACGAUGGGAAGACUUAUGAACAAGCCAAAACAGCAGAGAUUCCAAUGCUCGCCAGAUUCUUUCGCUAUUAUGCUGGAUGGGCAGAUAAGAUUUGUGGGCUAACUAUUCCAGCCGAUGGAAACAAUCAUGUCCAGACACUGGAUGAACCAAUAGGCAUUGCUGGUCAGAACAUUUAAUGGAACUUUUAAUUUAAAGACAUAGUUAUAAUAUUUGUAUUAUAAUUUAAAGAAAUAAAAAUUACUAACAAUUUAAAGUAAACUAAACACUUUGAAAUAUUCAAUAAAAUUUAUUAUAUUUUA
Molecule: long non-coding RNA, 505 nt
Organism: Brassica oleracea var. oleracea
Lineage: Eukaryota; Viridiplantae; Streptophyta; Magnoliopsida; Brassicales; Brassicaceae
Exons: 4
Source: RefSeq, a predicted model, not a curated record